CCGACUACGCCAUCCAGCGAAUCCCAGGACGACUGAGAAAACGGAGAGUCCCGUUCGGAGGACUUAAAAACACCGAACACCUUGCCAAGAGGUAAACUUGGUAGUUAUCUUUUUCCUUUCAAUUAUUUUAAAAUAGUUUGCUUAGUUAAUCAGGUUCACAUCAUCUUAAAAAGAAAAUAAAAAUGUUAAAAAUAGUAAGUCCCAUGUGAGUAUGCUCAUGGCAUAAAACCCAUAAGUACAUUCACUGUGGUGGCAUAAAAAUAAAAUAAAUAUAUUCCUGUCCUAUAAAAAUAAAAUUAUAAAAAUAAAUUUAUGAUCCUACUAAAGAGUGUAACAUUUAUUGAGGAGGCUCAACAAGAUAAAGGCUAGAUAUUUAUGCUAACACUUAACCAGUUCCACAAAGCUUUGUUGUCUAUUUGAGCUCCACAGAAUUCAAGGAUCAAAGAAGACUAGCAGACGGAGGAUAUCCUAAUCGCUGUCAAGGUGCUGCCGACAUUCAAAUACAUCUCCGCCACCUGCUAGCUACAUCAGAAGAAACUACGUCAAAAUCCAGCUUGGGGGAGAGCACCCCUAUUUAUCCAGCUAAGUAUUCUACUCACGUUUAUACUUUACUCUAAUAAUAAAAUGGUGCAUAAUCAUAGAAACCCAAAUAAAGAUUUUGUGCUUAUAUAUAUCUUUGCUUAGUUUGCUAAAUAAAUAAAUAAAUAAAGUCUGCUAUGAACCCUCAUGAUAAGCUCUCACAUGGAAAUGAUGAAUAAUUGCUCUACCAUGGCUAGUUCUCAAAAUUGAAAUCUCUCUCAAGUUUAGGCAUCACUGUUAUGAAUUAAGAUUUGCUCUAAACCUGAACUUGUGGGAGAGUACUUGAUCUGAAGUCUAAGUCGUUAACGGAUAUGAUAUGGGAAGGUUGAGCUGCUGUUUAUCUGUUCCUAGAGAUGCUAGAAUUCUGGAGAAUUUUAUCUUUGAAAAUCUUUAAAAUGUUACAUGAUGAGUUCUUGUAGGAUGAGAGUUUAAAUUCCUACCACAGCCAUAUAUACAUGCUUGCUAAACUUUGAGCCACACAUUUACUUUUUACUGCUUAUGAGCAUUGAGUGUGGUCAAGCUGUGUAGACCCUUAGGAGCUUGUCAUGUGGUUAAAAUCAAGAUUCACUUGCAUGUUCACUCAUACAUGUUGCUUCUACUCCGGAAGUACGCAUCCACAUAUAUCCAUCCAUUUCCAUCUCCAGAACCACCCAAAAAUAUUCUACUCCUAAUCAGGGAGAGAAUAGCCAAAAACAUUUCUGUUUUCCCUUGUGAAAUAAAUGCUCAAGUUAUCUUGUUACUACCACUUGCUAUAUUAUCUCAUGAGAUGAGUGCUCUAAAAAAAGAAAAGAAAAAAAAGAUACGAGGAAAUAAAAAGGGGCAAGUGCCCGGAACCUCGAAAGAAAAGAAAAAGUGAGAUGAGAGGUAAAAAUGGACAAGUGUCCGACAGUAGAAUUAGGGGUACAAGAUACCCACCUGAGAGAAAAGAAAAAAAAGAAAAUAUAGAGCAUCUCAUUCUCCUCAAAAAGUUUUAAAAGAGCAAGAAAGGUAUGUAUCCCCUCAAAAGAGCACAAGUAGAAUUAGACUUUCACCAUUGUUAUCACCAUCAUCACCAUACACCAUUCAUUCGCCACACAUGCACAUCUUCAUUUUACUUAUUGACUUGUUCUUCUAGAUCCAUGGUUUGACUAUGCAAUAAAUGUCUUGUAAGUAUGUAUUAGCUGUCUCCCACCUAUGAGCUCCAGAUAUCAAAAGCCUUAUUAGAGUAGGGUGAGAGAGAAGGCAAUGUCACUAUGCCUUAUACUACAAAUACCACAUACUUUGAGAGAAGGCAUAUACCAUUACUGCCUUGGUAAGGAUCAGAAAUACCUCAAAAGAGAGACUAGAGAGAGUCAUACAAGGAAUCUCUGAGUUUUAUUUGAAAAUCUGCAAAAACUCCAGAGCUAUAGCUGAUCAAGAAUAAGAGACAUGGUGCUUGACUAGACCGUUCUAUCUUUUAACUACUCAAGACAGAAGUGACGGUUACAAGUCCCAUGGUGAAAGGUAAAUGAGUAAGUUUUAAGUCUUAACAGUUUACUCUAACCAGAGAUGAGAUCUUGUUUAAACGCAUGUGGAUCUUUAAGUUAUGAAACCACUGCAGAAACUCUUGAGUUCAUCUUUGCUCAGGGACGAGCAAAGGUUAAGCUUGGGGGAGCUUGUUGACGGUCCUUAAUGCUCACAUUUAACCAUCAACUAAUCAUAGAAAAGGAUCCAAAUGCAACCAACACCUAGACUUAGGGUUUUAUCUGACAGAAUUCCACAAGUUUUGGUGUUUGUCUAUUUCUGCAGGGAGUUAUCAGGAAAUACGGAAGAAAGGCCCACACGUCGGGUUUACAUAGAGAUAUUAAUGUGCCGCGCAAUUUUCUAUCAUCUAGAAGACUCCAGAAGCCACGGGACCGAACCGGAGGCCGAGAGGACACAGGGACAGGGCGCCCGCCCUCCUUUCCUGGGCGCCCGCCCUCAGCCAGAGUCCAAUCAGGACUCUCUUUCGGGAUAUUGCUCCACCGACCUAAAGGAUCAAGGAAAACCACACGAUCAAUGUCGGUUUGAUCCAACGGCCCAGAUUCACUUGAAGGGACUAUAAAACCAGACCCCCCUGGCCCCUGGAGAUCAUACCUCUUCUACAGAAUCAAAGCUAGGGUUUCAAUUCUUCAUCCAAGUAGAGAGGAUCCCUCUAGUUCUUCUAGUUCUAUCUCUAGUUCAUCUAGAUCUAGUUCUAGUUCAUCUAGUUCUAGUUCUAGUUCCUCUAGUUCUAGUUCUAGUUAGUUCUAGUUGUAAUCUAGAAAAUAGGGAGAGAGAAGAGGAGAGCAGAGGAGGAGGAGCCGGAUCUGUCGGAUCUUCCUCAACAUUAUACUUUUGCAGCAUCUGGUUUGUUCUUCAUCGUUCUCCAGGUUCUUCAAUUCAUAAUCCUGAGUUCUCUAAUUACUUUUAUUUACAUUCAAGUAAUUUAUUGGAUUCCCGCUUGCAUCAAGUGCUCUAGUCUUUAUAACGCUAGAGUAGUAAUUAAUAGAUUAGACGUGGUGUUUAGUCUUGCGAUUAUCUAGAAUUGCACCCAAUCCUGCGGAUUGUUGUGGUAGCCUUAGGGUAGUGACAGCCCUAACGGUCGACGUAUUCCACCACGUUCGGAUCGGUGUUUGUAGGACCGUAGUCAGACCUUCCUAGCCCCCUUCUCAUCUCUUUCCGCGGUUAGUGCUCUGAUGUCCCGAUAUAGAUAAUCUUGAAGUAAUUCUUGAUUCUUAGAUCAACUAGAGAACUCUCAGGAAACUUCCUCUCUUCCCACCAAAAAUAAUUAUAUAGUUAUCCUUGGGCGAUCUUGGAUCUUAAUUAGUACACUCACGUUCCCUGUGGAAAAUCGAUACUCUGGAAUACUCCCGGGUGAAGGCUACAUCGGUAUCCGUGCGCUUGCGGAUUUUUCUGUUUGCGUUUAAAAUACCCAACAAAGACCAAGAAUGUGAUUCUUAGGAACAAGCAUAAAGAACUAAACAUGUUGAGCUAAUUAGAUUGGAUCAAAUGAGGUUGUAACUCAAAGCAUGUUUGGUUCUCUACUUAUGUGCAUGAUAGGAUUAAGGAGGAUAAUUUGGAAAUAAAGAUCACUUACCAAGAGAUGUUACCCUAGUAUUGAAACAUGUUGAAGCCAUAACAUCUUGUAGAAGCUUUCCUUUCUUGGCUAGUCAUGUGCCUUGCUCAUGGACAACUUGUCUCCUUUGUUGUACUCCUUUCUUACCUUAUGCCAUUAUUUGCUCUCCGUCUAAUUUGUGCUUGGACCUUUAGCUCUUCUUAUUAUUUUAUCCCUAUAAAUCAUUAGUGGACAACACAUACCUGAAGGAGUAUACAAAUAAUGACAAGGGCAUAUUGUUGUAACACAAAGCUAAGGGGCACUUUCUAUGCUACAAAAGAAGUUGUUUUAACAUACUUAUCAUAGCACAUUUAUUAUUCACAAUUACUUAUUUCUAAUGGAUUGAUUUUAUUUUCCCAAGUUAUGUUUUGAUUUUUAAAUAUAGGCAUUAUGAAUCAACUCAAACUCAUAGAAAUAAAGCAAUAGUGAAUUUAGGGAUUGCAAACCAGCAUAUGGAGCGAUGAGGAAGAACUUGGUUGGAUCAUCUAGAGGAGUUGACCUUCUUCCUCAUGUCUCAACUUCUCAACCUCAUAGGUGAGAGUGCAGAAUGUUGCAUGCUUUUCUCUUGUCAAUCAUUUCUUGAUUCUUGAUAAUUAGUGGUUGACAAGAGAAUGCAACUCCAUGGAGUAAGUGCUUUGAUGAUGGAUCAUGUUUUGUGGCACCCUUCUGUCUUCUUGGCUACGAGUGAGUUGUGUCUCUCUUGUGCACAAUUAUUGUGUCUCUCUUCAUCUCUAGUGUGAGUUCAUCCCAGGACUUUCCCAAUUUGUAUUUGAGAUUCUCCUGCAGGGGUUAGUCCAACAAAAAUAUUCCAAUAUCUACUAUAGCAUACUAUCAGCUCAAAAAUCAACAUAGACACCAUGUCUAAUUUGAUUCAAGAAGGCAUUUUCACCUAAGCACCAUGCUUAAUUUAAAAGCCUUUUAGAAGUAAGAUCAACACACCUUUUGGUCCAAAAAUUAAACUAGACACCUUGUCUAAUAUAAGUCAAAACAAUAGUUUAAACUAAGCACCUUGCCUAAUUUUAAAAGGUGUCUAAAAAGACUUCAAAAGUCUACGCAUACUAUAGUAAACAAAGGUAGCAUGAGAGCAUUAUAGUGAUUUACUCAAUAGUGAUGAUAGAGUAUGAUCGCAAUGAGAAAUAUUAUUAUAUUUUUAGAUGUAGAUGAAUUGUAUGUAUGCAAGGAACUAAACAUGAUGUGGAUGAGAAAACUAAAUGAAGUGGAUGCAUGGAUGAUUCAAAGUAGACAUGUAGUGGUAUGCGAGGAAAUAAAAAUAUAACUACUCAUAAGUUUUAAAGCCUAGUAAGACUAUCUCACCCUGAUCAUACUUGCCUUGAUGCACAACUGGGAUGAGUGGUGUAGCAUAAAUAUCUGUCACAUGUGAUGGGGGUUGUAUUAUUGUGACGACAACCUUUUCUCCAAUCUACACAUGGUUAGAAUAAAUAAUAUAUAUGUGUAUACACAAACUUGUGAGAUGGCAGGGUUCUUGAAUGAUGGAUCUUGAAUGUUCAAACACUCUGGGUUCUUUAAUUUUGUGGAAUCUUGUCACAAGGUCGAAGCGGCAUCUGAUGUCCUAUCUAUUCCACACUCAACAGAACAAAGGGGUAAUCCUACUAAAGCUAAUUGUACACUAAAUUAGCAAACAUCAAGGUUGUUAUUAGAAUCUUUAUGCCAAUUGCUUCCCCGGCAACGGCGCCAAAAAUGUUUGUUGGCAUUUCUUAAUGCAAUCACCAAAGAUACGCAAAAAGCCUAAUCCCCAGCAGCAGCGCUAGAAAUGCUUAAUGACAUUUGUUAGUGCAAAAAGAAUUAUAAAAGAUUCCACAAGCGCACAAAACAUCAUCGUAGCAUUUUACCGGGAGUAUUCCAAGUAUCGUUAUUUACAUUUUACCACAGGGAAGCAGGGUUAAGAAUCUAAUAAUUCACUAUCCUACAUCUACUAACUUAGAGUAUCAACUAAACUAAUGUAGGGGUAAAUAAUGUACUAUAAGAUAAUAGCAUAUAAGAGAAUUCAAUGAUAAAUGUAUAGAUAGUCAUAGCGGGAGGACAACGAGAAAGAUCUAGGUUCAUUUGUACUUCUCUAUUACUUAGGUUCUAAGGCAACAGAAUAUGAAAAGAUAUAGCAAUCAUACAAUGGCACUUUGGAGCAACAGUACCUUUCCGACUCUCGAAAGAGACUGGAAGAAGGUAGUCAGGGGAAGGCUGCCAAGAAGCUCUACGAAACAUCAAUCCGAACGUGGUGGAAUACAAAGGCCUAACAGGGCUGUCACCCCUGGGGCUACCACAACUAUUUGUGGGAUUGAGCGCAACCUCAAGUAAACUAUAGCCUAGACACCAUGUCUACACUAGCGUUCACUGCUCUAAUUACCAUGAAUAACUAGAGCACUCAAUACGAGCAAAGAUCCCAUGCCAAGAUAUAACAACUACACUAAUCAUAAAGAGGCACAAACUAAAUAGAAAAGAUAAUAUAUUAAAGCAUAAGUUUUACAAAUAAGAGAUAUGAAAACAUACCAAAACUCUGAAGAAAACUCCUCCAGAACCAGAGCAUAGCUCCGCUCUCCCUAACUCCCAAUUAGAACUAAUCUACUACAUUGGAAUGUCUAGCCCUAAUUCUCUAGAGAAGAGAGGUCAUCCAUUCGAGGGAUGUCUCUACAACUCAUAAUGAUUCUCCUCCCAAGGGGUUAGUCUUGUAUUUGUAGGGGGCAUCUGGCCCCUCCUCUACCUUGAACUAGUGAUGUGGUACUAAUCUUUCCACCCCCUAGGAGGAACCAUAGCCCUUGGAUCAAACCGACUUAAACGUGCGCUUAAGAUUAAUCCUCAAAGGCGGUGGAUCAGGAAUCCGUGAACCAGAGCCUGAUUGAUUGAGGUAGUCGGGCGGCCGCCCAAGGGGGUGGAGCGGGCGCCCAUCCCUUGUGGCCGUUUGCCUUCUUGUUUGUUCUGGUGUCUUCUCGAACCUUCUAGACUCAAGAAAAGUGUAUUUUCUUGUGAAAUUCAUAUUCCUUCAUCCGAGACUCCAAAUAUGGCAAAUGAUAUAUGGAUUUCAAUCAUCUCGAUGAGCCUGUCACCAUGGUGAAGUCCAAUUCAUCAAUUGAGAUACUUUUAUUCAAUGAUUAGUAUGCCUUUAACUCUUUUCCUAUGUGACCCCUACAAAACAUAGAUGUACCAAAACUCAUGGAAUUUGUUAGUUCCAACCUCUAAACCUAUGUUGAUGAGCAUCUCUUUGUAGUUAUAAAAGUUAUGUUGACAGUUAAAAAUAGGAGUUAACUACCAUCAACAGUCACCAUGUGUGAGGGGUUCCUAGGGAUCACCCCUCACUCAGAGCUAUAGCUCCACCUGUUCUGGGCGGACAUCUUGUCAAAGUCUGGUGGGACCGGCUAGCCCCAGAAGCCAUUGAGGGCCAGUGGCUAUACUCUCCAGGUGUGCCAGCGGAAGUCUCACCUCUACAUUCAUGCCUUGCUUUAGUCCUCCAAACGAGGCUAUCAGGAGGGGUAGUUGUACCUCCACAACGACCUCAACAUGCUGCCCCCUAUACUGGGAAGGUGGUGAGCGAAUGGCCCAAGAAGUGGAAGUGGGGUGUUCCCAUAGAGGAUCAACCAACGUUGGACCUGCUCCUCGAGGGAGUGGAGAGGCUCUAUGGUAAGGGUCUCAUAGCGGCCGGCGUGUCAACUGCUUUCCAUAUGCGAAGAGCCCUCCUGCUAGCACAGUGCCCACUUUUCAUGUACUAGAUGGGCUCAACAGCAUCGCUAGAGGGAACACAGAUGUCCUCCUAGGCUCUCCCUAUGGGGGAGGUCACUAAGCGUGUGACUUACACCAUGUCGUUGGGUUUGGCAGAAAACUUCUAGGUCUUCACAAUGCAACAUAGGAGGGGUAUAUUUACGUAGUAAGAGCCUUCAAAGGGAAGACCUCUACCGUUAGUGCUCUAACCUAGUAGUCGAGGCUCAAGCGUUGUAGGGGAAGAUCACCCCUUUGGUGGAGAGGGUGGAGUCACUAGAGGAGGCCCUUGUGUAGGAGUCAAACGAGCAGAGCAUCCUCACAGGAACUUUUUGGGAUGAGCUCACAUGGGUCAAGGCUGCCUUGGCAGUGCAGAACCAUGCCCUGGCCUAGGCCACUAGGGACCUAGACGAGCCUCGAGGUUUUACCCGUUGAUGGGAAGGGAAGGCAAAGAAGGAGGAGGAAGAGGCAUGGGGUAUGUUUUCUUUCUUGAAUGUGACCUUCAUCAUGUCAUCCUACCUCAGGUCCUAACCAUUAGUCUUGAUUUAUCACAAAGCUAGCGAGGAAGCAAUCUGAGGCCAACUCAACGGUUGCAGCCCUGUAGGCUGCCCUAAACAUGGAGUCCAUGGAGCAUAACGCUCUACGAACUAUCAUUACCUCAGUUUGUGACACGCUUGAGGCUGAGGAUAACCGCUCUGACAAAGUCACAUGGCCUCCCUCUACACCUAGGUGGGCAAGAGGCUGUAAGAUGCCCUCGACACUAGUGUGAAGCGUGCCUUGGCCGUCGUGAGCUCCCACUACCUCGGUGUUGAUCUCCUAGCCAUUAGCAAGGGGUACAUCAUUGACAAUGAUGAGAAGUCUAAGAAGGAAGUGCUAAAGCUUGCCGAGGCGGUCGACGCCCCUAGCAAUGCCUUGGCCACCCUGAUUGAAUAGGAGGUGGCACUCCCCCUGCUAGACCUAUAGAGUAGGAGUGAGGUAGGGCCGUAGUGCCCUUGUAAAAGUUAUGUUUUUUGUCCUUUAUCAGACUUUGUGGCCUUCUGAGGCCUUUUUAAACUCUACUAAGUCUCUUUUUAACUUUUGUAAAUUAUGCCUGAAAUAGUGGAGUCUCAGUUGCUUAUUAUUUUUGUCAAAUGGUCUAGCCUCGGUAGUGCAAGGUGAGGUUCAAUGUUAAGCAAUUUUGACCCAAGGCUUACUUAUGUUAUGAGUCUAAAAUUCUAUUUGAAUGUUCUGGGGCCUAGCCUUUGCUUCACUUUGAUUGUAAUCCAUACAAAGUCCUUUUCAAAAUUGUGUAGCCGAUCCUUUCGGUCAAAGGGAUGGUGAGUAGGAAUGUCAUAGCUCAUAAGCAUAGACAGUUCCUAGCUCAUCUAGGCCUAGCUCCUUUAGGAUGGUCUUUUGAUUUUUAGGUCUCUAUGAGUUCUUUUGUCAAAGUGAGCAAUAAGGCUAGAGUCAUAAUAUUCUUAUCUUAAGGGUGAUUGAAAAAAAUGAGACUAGGGGUCUCCCCCUUGUAGGCCUUGAGGGAGGCUUGGUUUUUGUUGAGGUAGAGCUGAGGCUCGCACUUGAGCUUUGAAAAUUUAAAGUGCUGCCGAGCCCCGACCUAAGGCUUGGGUGAGAUCUUAAGAAAAUUUACACAAUGCUUAAAGAUAUUUCUUUAUUGCUUUCUUGAGACAAGGGUAUGUAUAGUGCUUGGUAUUUAAGGGUAAAAACAAUGUAGUUGUUUGAUGUUCUAGGCAUUGGUGUAGACUUCUCCCUUCUCGUUAGCCAGCAUAUACGUUCUAGGUUGGAGUACCUCGAUGAUGAUGAAAGGACCCUCUUAGGGAGGGGUGAGCUUGUGGCAUCCAUGGUUGCUCUGCCUUAGCCUCAGCACCAAGUCGCUAACCCUAAAGGCCCAUCCUCGGAUGCGUCAGCUGUGGUAGCGUCAUAGAGCCUACUAGUACUUAGCCGAGUGUAGGAGAGCUAUGUCUCGGGCUUUCUUCCAGCUGAUCCAGGGCAUCUUCUUGGAAGGUUCUAUUGCUAUUCUCCUCAUAAGCUUUUGCCCUCAGGAGCCAUAUUCUAAGUCUAUGGGGAGAACAGCCUCGGACCCUUAGACCAUGAAGAAUGGCGUAAAACCCAUGACUCAUCUUUAGGAUGUCCUUAGACUCCAAAUGAUAGCUAGAAGCUUGGUGAGCCAUCUUUUGCCAAACUUGUUCAGAUGGUUGGACAUCAUGGGUUUUAGACUUUGUAGGAUCAUGCCAUUAGCACGCUCUACCUACCCAUUAGUCCUUGGAUGAGCCACUACUGCCUAGUCCACACAUAUGUGGUGCUCAUCGCAAAACACUAGAAACUUCCCCCCGAUGAAGUGUGUGCCAUUAUCAGUGAUGAUGCAGUUUGGAACCCCAAACCGAUGAAUGAUGUCGGUAAAAAAUGACACCACUUGCUUGGACUUGAUCCUGAUGAUGGGACAAGCCUCGAUCCAUUUUGAAAAUUUGUCAAUUGCCAUGAGAAAGUGGGUGAAGCCCUCGGGUGCUUUUUGUAGAGGUCCUACGAGGUCGAGAACCCAUACAACAGAGGGCCACAUGAUGGGGAUCAUCUGUAGAGCAUGUGUUGGAGAUGGGUCUGUCCUGUGCAGAAUCGACACCCCUUGCACGUCCACACAACUUCCAUGGCAUCUUCCAAGGUGGUUGGUGUUAACGGUAGAUAACUCCAAAUUUUAACCGUCAACUAAACUUGAAAAUGGAUCUAUAUACAAACACCUAGUAGAUAUAGGGUUAUCACUAAUAGAAUUCCAUGAGUUUUGGUGAACGUCUGUUUUUGUGGGGUGUUAGCUAAAAACAACCAAAGAUGGUCCACAUGUUGGUUUUACAUAGAGAGAAUACCACAAAUAGCAACUCAAUAACAAUCUAGAAGACUCGAAAGAUGGUCCACAUUUUGUAGUUGUACAUGCAGGAUCAAAGUCUCCUAACUUGAGGCUUGGUCCUAGGAUCAUUUACCAAUUCGACUUCUAAUACUAGGAAGUUUAUUGUUCUUAUUGUUGUUUGGUUUAUGGGUUUACUUUAUUCACUAGCGCUAGGGAAUAGAAUAAUUGUUCGUAGAGUAAGCGUGGUGCUUCGGCUAGGAAUACUCAUAGAUACUCCCUACCUGGUCAGGUUUGUGGUAAUAGUGAGGGGAAGUGACAGUCUCUUUGUUGUCUUCGUAAUCCAUGUCCCGUCAGGAGGUAAGGUAGGAAUUAGUGUGCUGGGGUUACGCAUCCUCUGUGGUGUAUUUUUUUCUUAGGUGCCCCCUGUUGGGUAUUUUAAACGCAAACAGAAAAAUCCGCAAGCGCACGGAUACCGAUGUAGCCUUCACCCGGGAGUAUUCCAGAGUAUCGAUUUUCCACAGGGAACGUGAGUGUACUAAUUAAGAUUCAAGAUCGCCCAAGGAUAACUAUAUAAUUAUUUUUGGUGGGAAGAGAGGAAGUUUCCUGAGAGUUCUCUAGUUGAUCUAAGAAUCAAGAAUUACUUCAACAUUAUCUAUAUCGGGACAUCAGAGCACUAACCACAGAAAAAGAUGAGAAGGGGGCUAGGAAGGUCUGACUACGGUCCUACAAACACCGAUCCAAACGUGGUGGAAUACGUCGACCGUUAGGGCUGUCACUACCCUAGGGCUACCACAACAAUCCGCAGGAUUGGGUGCAAUUCCAGGUAAUCGCAAGACUAAACACCACGUCUAAUCUAUUAAUUACUACUCUAGCGUUAUAAAGACUAGAGCACUUGAUGCAAGCGGGAAUCCAAUAAAUAACUUGAAUGUAAAUAAAAGUAAUUAGAGAACUCAGGAGUUAUGAAUUGAAGAACCUGGAGAACGAUGAAGAACGAACCAGUUGCUGCAAAAGUACAAUUUUGAGGAAGAUCCGACAGAUCCGGCUCCUCCUCCGCUCUCCUCUUCUCUCUCCCUAUUUUCUAGAUUACAACUAGAACUAACUAGAACUAGAAAUAGAGGAACUAGAACUAGAACUAGAUGAACUAGAACUAGAUCUAGAUGAACUAGAGGUAGAACUAGAAGAACUAGAGGGAUCCUCUCUACUUGGAUGAAGAAUUGAAACCCUAGCUUUGAUUCUGUAGAAGAGGUAUGAUCUCCAGGGGCUAGGGAGGUCUGGUUUUAUAGUCCCUUCAAGUGAAUCUGGGCCGUCGGAUCAAACCGACAUUGAUCGCACGGUUUUCCUUGAUCCUUUAGGUCGGUGGAGCGUUGUCCGCGAAACGUGACCGAAUUGGUCUCUGGAAGUGGGCGGGCGCCCAAGGGACUAGGGCGGGCGCCCUGUGCCUGAGCCCUCUCGGCCUCCGCUUCGGUCCCGUGGCUUCUGGAGUCUUCUAGAUGAUAGAAAAUUGCGCGGCACGUUAAUAUCUCUAUGUAAACCCGACGUGUGGGCCUUUCUUCCGUAUUUCCUGAUAACCCCCUGCAGAAAUAGACAAACACCAAAACUCGUGGAAUUCUGUCAGAUAAAACCCUAAGUCUGGGUGUUGGUUGCAUUUGGAUCCUUUUCCAUGAUUAAUUGAUGGUUAAAUAUGAGCAUUAAGGACCGUCAACAAGCUCCCCCAAGCUUAACCUUUGCUCGUCCCUGAGCAAAGCUAAAAUCAACAAGAAAAACAGGGGUUACUUUUAUGCCUCUUACUACAGGGUUUUUAAGUUAUCACUAAGGUCUUAAGUGAUUGAAAAACAGAAUGAUCAAGUCAAGCACUAUGUCUUAAGUUCUUCUGUCUUACCUUUGUUCUGGAGUUGUUUGUAAGUUUGCAAAAUAAAACUGAGGCAUUUGCCUUCUUCUCGAAAGAUAUAUAAGUAGAGCUUUAAAAGUUUUAGCAUACUUACUUUGCAUUUUGCUAUGUCAACGCUCGGAGUAAGGGAGAGGAAUGUCAUACUCCUAGAUCAAGACCUUUGACCUUUUUGAAAAGUUUGUCAUCUCUUACUGGCAUAUUGCUUAUUAGAGGGACCAUGGGCUAUCAUUUUUUUUUCUUUUUUUUUCAGUCUCUUUUUUUUUCAAGUGGGCAGCAAGUACCCCUAAUUCUACUGUCGGACACAUGUCCAUUUUUUUCCACUCAGGUGGGUAUCUUUGUACCCCUAAUUCUACUUCGGACACUUGUCCAUUUUUACUUCUCGUCUCACUCUCUCCUUUUUUUUUGAAUCAAAUUUUUGCAUAGUCCCAUGCCUCUAACGCAAUAAUACUUCGGAAGAGUGAAUCUUUUAUAUUUUUAAAACAAAAAGAUCUUGAUCUUGGGAGCAUGAUAAUUCUCUCAACCAAAACUACAAGAAUUAACAAUGGCUUGAACAAAGCAAGUGCCCACAGUUUUAAUAUUCAUAUCUUAUAAGACUCUAGGUAUUAUGAUCUCAUAUUUAUUUAUUUUUUUUUAUGAAUUUUUAGAUUUUCAAAAGAUAAAAUCUCCAGAACUCUAGCAAAACUUGGAACAAGUUAAAUAGUAGCUCAGACCUUCUCAUAUCAUGUUUGUCAAUUACCUAGACUUGAAUCAAACUUUCUUUUUAUUUUAUUUAAAACUUAGGAUUACACAAAACUAUUGUAUAUUACUCAAAAGAAAAACUUUGUUUGGUUUCAUGGUUAUGCAUUUUUAUUUAUUUACUUAUUUCAGAAUACUAGUAAAUAAAACCAAAGGAAGAAAAGUAAUACUUAUCUAGAUACAUGUGGGGGUGCCUCCCCCAAGCUGUAUGUUGACAUAGUCGUUCACUCUUGUAGCCUGCAUGUUUGGUCUCACUCUUCUUAAGCCUCAAAAUCCUGCACAACCCAAAUAGACAACAAAACUUGUGGAACAUGUUAAGGGUUAGGUAAUUGUCUAGAGCUUAUGAGAGCUUAAUGUGAGAAUUCUAUAAACUCAAUCACAUCAAGCUCCUCUACCAGGUUGUUUUGUGGCUCGAGAUAGAUUUUCAAGCGUUGACCAUUUACCUUAAAAGUGUUACCUAUGUCGUCUUGGAUGGUAAUGGCUCCAUGAGUUGAAGUGUCAAUAACCUUGUAUGGUCCAUCCCACUUACUUCGUAGCUUACCAUGCCCAAAGAGCUUUACUCUUGAAUUGAAUAGUAGAACCUUAUCUCCAGGCUUAAACUCCUUGUGCUUGAUUCUCUUAUCAUGCCAUCGUUUCGUUCUCUCUUUAUAGAUCCUUGAAUUGUGAUAGGCUUUCUCUCUCCAUUCUUCUAGCUCAGAUAGUUGCAUCAGACGAUUCUUGCUAGCAAGGUGGAGAUCCAUGUUCCAUUUCUUGAGUGCCCAAUGAGCCUUAAACUCUACUUCCACAGGCAAGUGACACGUUUUUCCAUAUACAAGUUGAUAAGGUGACAUGCCUAUGGGUGUUUUGAAUGCAGUUCUAUAUGCCCAAAGUGCAUCAGGAAGUUUGUCCUUCCACCCCUUACCCAUCUCAUCUACGGUCUUUUGUAAAAUAUUUUUGAUUUGUUUGUUAGAUGUUUCGGCUUGACCGCUAGUCUGAAGAUGGCAUGGUGUUGCGACGUUGUGUCGAACUCCAUGAUCGGCUAGGUACUUCCGGAAGAUUUUGUCGAUGAAGUGGGAACCUCCAUCGCUUAUAACUAUCCGGGGUAUACCAAAGCGAGGAAAGAUUACUUCAUGGAACAUUCUCUUGGCAUGUUUUGAAUCAGCUGAUCGACAAGGUAAGGCUUCUACCCAUUUGGACACGUAGUCCACAGCUACUAAGAUAUACUCGCAAUUCCCGGACAUAGGGAAUGGCCCCAUGAAAUCAAUGCCCCAUACGUCGAAAAGUUCUACUUGAAGAUUAUUUGUGAGAGGCAUUUCAUUUUGUGAGUUGAUAUUCCCAUGUUUUUGACAUCGGUGGCAUCUCCUGACAAAGUCCUUUGUAUCUUCAUACAUCGUUGGCCAGAAAAAGCCACUUUGCCAAAUUUUAGCAUGUGUCCGGAAUGCUCCGUAGUGUCCUCCAUAUGGCGAGGCAUGGCAUCUUUCCAUAAUUUGAGUAGCCUCAGCCAUAGGAACACACCUUCUCAAGAGUCCAUCAGCGCAGACUCGAAAAAGAUAUGGCUCAUCCCAAAGGUGGAAACGACUAUCGUGAAGUAACUUCCUUUUGUUUGCACCAGGUGGGACAUAGCCUUUUACUACAAAGUUUACGAUGUCUGCGUACCAUGGAUCUGCAUGUGUUAUCUUAAGUAGGGUGUCAUCCCUUAGGUAGUCAUUUAUGGGAAGCUCAUCAUGUGUUUCCUUAUAUUAAAGCCUAGACAAGUGGUCGGCUACAGAAUUCUCAACUCCCUUCCUAUCUCGGAUUUCUAUGUCAAAGUCUUGGAGUAGAAGAAUCCACCGAAUUAGACGAGGCUUAGCAUCUUUCUUAGUGAGGAGGUACUUGAGAGCAGCAUGGUCUGAAUAGAUGAUUAUCUUUGCCCCCACUAAGUAAGAUCUAAACUUGUCUAUAGCAAAGACAACAGCCAAAAGCUCUUUUUCAGUUGUAGUGUAAUUGAGCUGUGGUCCAGAUAAGGUUUUGCUAGUGUAGGAUAUGGCAUAAUGCAUUUUAUCCUUGGUUUGUCCUAAAACGGCACCAACCGCAAAAUCGCUAGCAUCACACAUGAUCUCAAAAGGAAGAUUCCAGUCAGGUGGUUGGAUAAUCGGGGCUGAGAUGAGUGCUUUCUUAAGAGUUUGAAAAGAUUCAUGACACUCAUCACUAAAGAUGAAAGGCGCAUCCUUAGCUAGGAGAUUAGUUAGGGGUCUAGCAAUUUGAGAGAAGUUCUUGAUAAAGCGUCUAUAGAACCCUGCAUGUCCCAAAAAGCUACGGAUUCCUUUCACAUUCGUUGGAGGUGGAAGUUUUUCAAUAACUUCAAUCUUUUCUUUGUCCACCUCUAUACCACGUUCGGACACUUUAUGUCCUAGCACUAUUCCUUCCUGAACCAUAAAAUGGCAUUUCUCCCAGUUCAGGAUUAAGUGCUUUUCUUCACAUCGCUGCAAGGCUCUAUCUAAAUUCUCCAAACAAUGAUCGAAGGUUUUGCCAUAGACGGUAAAAUCAUCCAUGAAAACCUCCAUGAUCUUCUCAAUCAUGUCCGAGAAAAUAGACAUCAUGCACCGUUGGAAAGAAGCUGGAGCAUUGCACAAUCCGAACGACAUUCGUCGGUAUGCAUAAGUUCCAUACGGGCAUGUAAAGGUAGUCUUUUCUUGGUCAUCUGGGUGGAUUGGGAUUUGGUGAUAUCCAGAAUAACCAUCAAGGAAACAAAAGAAAGAGUGGUUUGCAAGCCGUUCCAACAUUUCAUCAAUGAAGGGUAACGGAAAAUGAUCUUUCUUUGUAGCCUUAUUGAGUUUUCGAUAGUCAAUACACAUACGCCACCCAGUGACAAUUCGUUGAGGGAUGAGUUCAUUUUUCUCAUUCAUAACAACCGUCAUUCCUCCUUUCUUUGGCACUACUUGGACAGGGCUAACCCACUCACUAUGUGGCACAGGAUAAAUAAUCCCAGCACGAUAGAGUUUGAGGACCUCUUUCUUAACAACCUCUCGCAUAGCAUUGUUAAGUCUCCGUUGUGGUUCCCUUGAAGGUGUAGAAUUGGGAUCAAUAGGGAUACGAUGAGUGCAGAGAAUGGGACUAAUGCCCGUGAGAUCCUCGAGAGAGUAGCCAAAUGCUGAUCUAUGUCUUUCAAGAACAGUGACAAGUUGUUGUGUUUCAUAAUCGGAAAGCUUGUCACUGAUAAUUACUGGAGUUUUUGAGUUGUUGUGCAAAAAGACAUAUCUAAGGCCAGAAGGAAGAGGUUUUAAUUCUAUCGAAGGAGGUGAAGUUAGUUCAUUUUUGUCUAGCUCAACGGGUUCUACCAACUCUUCUUCUUCUUGAACAAAGUGUUCAUCAUUAAAGAAUGGUUGGGCCAUCUCCUCUUGAGUCAACAUUAAGAUCUCCUCAAUAGGAUCUGGUACAAGUUUGGGUUCCACUAUCGUGUUAAUUGAUCUAACAAGAGGAACAACAAUAGUGGAAUUCCCAACCUUGAAGUCUAAAUGACCUCGUUGUGGUUGUUCAUGUAGAAGUUUUAUGAUUGGUCUACCAAUCAAGAGAGGAAUCUCUGGUAUGUCAAAAAUGUGAAAAUCUAGACAUAUUCCAGAGUCCUUGAUUCUAACAGGAACUGCCCUUAAUACCCCAUGGCUUUCUAGAAUUAAUCCAGGUGGACUUUGUAAAAGUUUUUGAGAUGGGGUUAUGGACUCGUUGGGAUAAAGAGUGUCAGCUAACUCCUUGGAAAUAACAUUUAUCCCAACAUAUGGAUUGUAGUGGACCUUCCUAACGGACCGUCUAAUUUGGCACAGAAGAAUGGUUGAAGGAGUGAUGAUUCGAGCUACCUCAGGAGACAGCUCUGCUUCUGUUAGCCAUUCAUAACUUAGAAUAGCCGAAAGGCUUUUGAUGUGUUCUAUGUCAACAGAUUCUACUCUUAGAACGGAUUGAGUGGUCCUUGCUAGAGGUCGUGUUUGGAUAGGAAAAUUCGAGGUGUUUCCAUAAUCUUCAAAAAGAUCUUCCUCGAAUUGAAAGGGAUGCUCUAAAGGUGGUGGUUCAUCAUCCUUUAGUUGGUUUUGCAUUCCCUUAUCAGGAGGUUUCUCUACAACCAAAUUAAUGGAUGGGUCAGGUGGAAUUUCUAUCUCGGUUGCAAGUUCCACAUCUUUUGGUUUAGGAUCAGGCUCGACUUCGUUUUCUUCUUCAAGAAACUCAUCAUAAAUGCCUGUGUAAGGGGUAUUUUCAAGGAUUCUUUCUAGGAUAGCUCUCCCCUCAUCUGUGAGUUUGUGUGUGAAUGAGCCUCCUGAAGCAAUGUCGAGGUGAAGAGCAGCUUCCUUAUUAAGACCACGAUAGAAGUGGUAGUACAGUACAUGGUCAGGCAGAGAAAGGUUUGGACCGGAAUUGGUAAGGCUUGUGAACCUAGCCCAAGCUGCUCCUAAAGUUUCCUUCUCUCUUUGUUUGAAUGUAAGAAUUUCAAUUCUAAGGUCAGCAAUUCGAAAAAGUGGGAAGAAAGCGAGACAAAAGUUGUCCCGAAGUUCAUCCCAAUUUCCAUUAACGCCUCCUACAGAAUGAGCAUACCACUUCUUUGCUCUUCCCAAAAGGGAGAACGGAAAUAAUUUCCAUAUAAGGGUGUCUUGUGUCAUGCCGGAAAUAGAUCGGCAAGAGCACAACUGCUCGAAUUCUCUAAGGUGGGUGUAUGGAUCUUCAUCUACAUGAUGGUGGUGGCUCUAAUAACUCGCCCUUUGGAGCAAAGAAUUUAUAGAUAGGAGUGAAAUCCAUGUGGUGUGGUGAAAAUGGUAAGGUGAGUGUGGUAAAAGGGAAAAGAAAAAGGAUACACGGACGACUUGGUUCGAAACUAGCACAGCUACCGUUCCCCGGCAACGGCGCCAGAAAGCUUGUUGGGUAUUUUAAACGCAAACAGAAAAAUCCGCAAGCGCACGGAUACCGAUGUAGCCUUCACCCGGGAGUAUUCCAGAGUAUCGAUUUUCCACAGGGAACGUGAGUGUACUAAUUAAGAUUCAAGAUCGCCCAAGGAUAACUAUAUAAUUAUUUUUGGUGGGAAGAGAGGAAGUUUCCUGAGAGUUCUCUAGUUGAUCUAAGAAUCAAGAAUUACUUCAAGAUUAUCUAUAUCAGGACAUCAGAGCACUAACCACAGAAAGAGAUGAGAAGGGGGCUAGGAAGGUCUGACUACGGUCCUACAAACACCGAUCCGAACAUGGUAGAAUACGUCGACCGUUAGGGCUGUCACUACCCUAGGGCUACCACAACAAUCCGUAGGAUUGGGUGCAAUUCCAGGUAAUCGCAAGACUAAACACCACGUCUAAUCUAUUAAUUACUACUUUAGCGUUAUAAAGACUAGAGCACUUGAUGCAAGCGGGAAUCCAAUAAAUAACUUGAAUGUAAAUAAAAGUAAUUAGAGAACUCAGGAGUUAUGAAUUGAAGAACCUGGAGAACGAUGAAGAACGAACCAGUUGCUGCAAAAGUACAAUGUUGAGGAAGAUCCGACAGAUCCGGCUCCUCCUCCGCUCUCCUCUUCUCUCUCCCUAUUUUCUAGAUUACAACUAGAACUAACUAGAACUAGAACUAGAGGAACUAGAACUAGAACUAGAUGAACUAGAACUAGAUCUAGAUGAACUAGAGGUAGAACUAGAAGAACUAGAGGGAUCCUCUCUACUUGGAUGAAGAAUUGAAACCCUAGCUUUGAUUCUGUAGAAGAGGUAUAAUCUCCAGGGGCCAGGGAGGUCUGGUUUUAUAGUCCCUUCAAGUGAAUCUGGGCCGUCGGAUCAAACCGACAUUGAUCGCACGGUUUUCCUUGAUCCUUUAGGUCGGUGGAGCGUUGUCCGCGAAACGUGACCGAAUUGGUCUCUGGAAGUGGGCGGGCGCCCAAGGGAUCAGGGCGGGCGCCCUGUGCGUGAGCCCUCUCGGCCUCCGCUUUGGUCCCGUGGCUUCUGGAGUCUUCUAGAUGAUAGAAAAUUGCGCGACACGUUAAUAUCUCUAUGUAAACCCGACGUGUGGGCCUUUCUUCCGUAUUUCCUGAUAACCCCCUGCAGAAAUAGACAAACACCAAAACUCGUGGAAUUCUGUCAGAUAAAACCCUAAGUCUGGGUGUUGGUUGCAUUUGGAUCCUUUUCCAUGAUUAAUUGAUGGUUAAAUAUGAGCAUUAAGGACCGUCAACACCCCCCUUAGAACAAUAACUACACAGCUUACCAUAGGUUAGAGGAAGACUAACGGAGUAAUCCUCUCUAUAUCGCUCAUAUCUCACUAUCUUGUCUGUAGCCUAGGGGUUAAGUAUAUAUUUGGUUUAGUCAGAUGCACACUUUCUCCUAGCACAUAAAUAAAUAAUGAUACUCUAUAUAUCUCGGGUGACAUGCUCACCGAUGUCCGUGCACUUGCGGAUUACUUCUCUAUUUGCGUAUCUAGUAUCAACAAGCAUUUCUGAUGCCGUUGCCGAGGAGAAAUAUAGUCUGUUGAGAUAACUUUAAGUCAGGGUUAACCUUGUAUUAUACUUUGCUGUAUAAUGAUACUCUAUAUUUCUCUAUUUGCGUAUCUAGUAUCAACAAGCAUUUCUGAUGCACUAGCCUUCAAGAUGAUAUCCUAGAGUUUUCCUUUAUUUAUCCAUUAGUGAGGUGAGGUUUGUCCUUAUUAUUAGUGGACACACUCCUUGCACUAGCCUUCAAGAUGAUAUCCUAGAGGUAGAGAAGGAAGCACCCCCAAACUUGAAGAGGAAGUUUUCAUAGCCACUUUGCAAACAUUCUAAUCCCAUGAUUCGGCUAUCCAUCCCAAACUAGCAAUACUCCAAAAUCCUUUAAGGGAAGAAGUAGUUCUACCUUUAGAAAUCCUUUCCAAUGAUUUUGGGAGGAAUUUAAACUUCCCGCUUCAUAAGAGAUAUUUUAGUGCAUAUAGUUUGAAUCUUCAAAACAUAUCUCUUAGAAAGCUUUUCAAAUCCAAUCCCUUUGAAAGACAAUUAGAAAGACUCAAAGAUGGCAUGUCAAUUGAUGCCAUAGGACUGUGAAGCCAUCUAGAAGCCACUCUUAUCCUCUCCCCUUCUAUGCCCACAUUAGAUAUAGAAUAUGAACCCGUCUUUAAACCCAUCCUUGACUACUAUGGCUUGUUUUAUGCUCUUUCUCCUAAACCUCCUGAUGAUUCUAGAAAUCCAUCUAGAUAUGUGUUGACGGUCCUUAAGUAUCAAAUUUAAUUAUCAAAUAAACAAAGAAAAGGAUCCAAAUGAAAUCAACAACCAGACUUAGGGUUUCAUCUGACAGAAUUCCACGAGUUUUGGUGUUUGUCUAUUUCUGCAGGGGGUUAUCAGGAAAUACAGAAGAAAGGCCCACACAUCGGGAUUACAUAGAGAUAUCAACGUGACGCACAAUUAUCUUACAUCUAGAAGACUCCAGAAGCCACGGGAAGGAAGCGGAGGCCGAACUAAUACCCGAUUUUAAGGACAAAACCAGAUAUGCACCAUAUGUGAGUUUUAGAAGUCAAAUCUCACAUAUAGCUACAAAUAAAGGGUAAUAUCAUAAGACAAUGCAUAAAUAUAUAACGUACUUAGUAUAAAAGAGAUAACCUUUGAUAACAAACAGCAGAUAGACAACUCCAAACUUCAGGUAUUAACUCCUCUCCAUAGGAUCAAACUGACUGGUUGAUCACAAGCCUAAAGCAACUCCUGAAGUGAGGGGGAAAUUGCAAGAGUGAGCACAUAUCAUACUCAACAAGUAUAACCAGGGGUUCAUGAGGCUCAAUAAGCUGACACUGGUUUGACUGUGUUUAGCUUUUAUAUGUAGAUAACAUAUUUAAUCAUUGGAUAGCAAAUAUCAAGGUAGCAUAAUUAAUCCCAUAACCACAUGAUCAAUGUAUAUAAGAAUUAUGAAUAACACAUAUAAACAACAUAAUAAACCAUCAUUUAUUAUCAUUAAUCAUGUUCAUCAGUGUCCGUCUAUUCCGUCAAUUUUCUGGGCCGCCCGUAUCCGUGGGCACGGCUAGUAUAGCAGAUUUAACACUCUGCAGAGGUUGUACAUCUUUACCCAUGAGUCGUGAUUUACCUUUUUGCCUGAGGUUGCAAGUCUCUUAACCCCAUUCCUAGGGAGGUCGGCAGGGAUCACUAUGAAGCCUUUCAAAGGUUUCGUCUAACAAGUUAGGACCAUUAGAUUCACUCGGCAGGCAGAUAUAGAGCCCCCUUCCAUGGCACAUAACCCGCAGCCUAUACACAUGGAUAGAGGCCACACUAUACCCAACGUGUCUAGCCAUUCUUACGCCAUUUAAGGUAACCGCUAACAAGCUAGAAAAAGGUCCUCAUACUGAGCUAAAACCAGAGCCAUAUAGCCCUCAUGGUUGUACGAGUUGUCCCACCUUUUGCCAAGGGAUAAGUUCUUAUGGAGGGUCAAGAUCAAUCUAGCAAAAGCUAGAGUUCUUUCCACCCUUUAUGUUCAAGUUGCUAGAAAGCUUAUUUUAUUGUUUAUUGUAUAUCCAAAUAUUCAUGUUACAAGAUCAUGGAUUAUUAAUCAAGCACUAGCAAGAACUACCCAAGUGCAUAUCUAAAAUAGGUAACAAGGAAUUCAGGAUAACAAUCAUCUAUGAUUUUGCUAAGGUCAUCAAGGUGGACACAUGCAUAUGAUAAAUAUUGUAUUAAUUGUGUAUAGGUAACAAGGAUGAUCUCUAGUUAUACUUGCCUUGAUCAAAGCUCUCCUGAGCCUGCUGGUCUUCAAAGGCUUGGUCUUGAUCACCAACGUACGGCUCACCGUCUAUUCCCAAACAUGGAUCAACAACACGCAAUCCAAUGUAGACAAUCAUACACAAAGCAAACAAGCUAUAAUUAGAACAUUACACCAAUAGUGAGAAAUUAAAGAUAAAAGUUUAUAAAAAUAUUCUCGCAGCGCUACGAUCACACAAACGUAAAGUACACGAAAAUCGGAUUUAAAACGUAGAAGUUAUGAUUUUUUUCUAAGAUUUCUUAUAGAUAAUUAAUUAAUUAAAUGCUACUGCAAAAUUAAAAAGUUUCAAAACAGUGGACUAAUACUUCUAACAUGUAGAGCUCGUAAAAAUGAAUCUAACGCAAUUUGAAUAGGUCAAAACGGAGUUAAGAUGAAUAUUUUAUGGCCAAAAAAAAGUCAGUGGCAAAUUCUGUAAAUACCUCAUCUUGUUACCUUGAGCACGUACACAUCAGGCCAUGGCUGAUUCGGCCUUGCCGACCAGCGCAGGGAUCAAAGACGGCUUGGAGAUCGCAGGGGCUGGCUCUACAAAAUUUCGCGCAGUCACAGACAAGUCUCCAAUCUUGAUUUCAGCGAGGAAACGAAACAUCCGCGCUUGAAGGUAGGCAUGGCUGUAUAGGCGAUGAUGGCGAUCACGUUGUAGAGAAGAAAAUAUAAAUUUUAUUUUACUACCUUAAGAAUUCUCAAAUUAGAGACUUCCCAUAUGAUAGUCUUUGAUGUGCUUUGCCUAAGGGGUUGGUACAUAUAUAUAGGGAGAAAAACUCCCCACCUCCACGUCAACUAGCAAUAUGGUACUAAUUGAUUUGCAACCUUCAUCUUCACUAAUAGGUCUAAUUAAUUAUUAAAGCCCAUUAGUAAAUAAAUACAUGGUUUUUAUGAUUUAUUAUGGGCUUUGACGUUGGAAAAAUAAUAAGAGAUUUAUUAUUUUUGGAAUUAAUUAUUUUCAUUGAUAAAAUAAUUCUAGAAAAGUUUAGAAUUAGUAGUUAAGCCACGAAAAAUACUCCAAAAGCUCCGAAAAUUCAGGAAAAAUUCUCAGAGAUAUUAUAGAACAUGGGAAACCCGAAUAAAGUUUUUGGAGCUCAUGAUAAGAUUGUUUGAAGCAUCUAAAAAUUAGAUUUAUGCUCAUAGGAAAGGCUAGAAAAUACCCGAGAAGUUUGUAGAGAAUUCUUGAUGGACGAGAAAUUCAAACGAGUGACUUACGUUUGAAAGAAAAGAUUCUGAGAGACAAUGACCGAAAUCUUGAGCUAAGAGACAAGGAAUUUGAUUGUAGAAAAAGGUAAAUAUGUGCCGAAUAAGGAAGAUCGAUCUACUAAACGUAUUUUAAAUAUUUUUCUUACUAUCAACACAUAAAGGAGCAACAAGCAUCACAUCAAAACAUAUGCACCAGCAUGUAUGUAUAAUAAUGUUGCUAAGCCUUAUGAUAAAUUUUAAUUUAAUUAAAAUAUUAUUUUUUCUAUAUUUUCAUGAGCACAAAAAUAUUAAAUUAAAUAAUUUUAUCUAUAUUUCAAAAGGAGUAAAUUUUAGGGUGUUACAUAGCCUGGCCCUGGGCGCCCGCCCAGGAGACCAGGGCGCCCGCCCCCUUCUGGGUACAAUCAGGACUCUCCUUCGGGAUCAAUCUCCACCGACCUAAAGGAUCUAGGAUAACCGUUCAAUCAAUGUCGGCUUGAUCCAACAGCCCAUAUUCACUUGAAGGGACUACAAAACCAGACCCUCUGGGCCCUGGAGGAGAGAGCCUCUCAACCCUAAUUCAUUAUUCUCACGGGAGAAGAAGCCUCUGAUCAAGCCUAGAGCCACAACAUCAAUUAGACAUCUAGAUUAGCAUAGCUACAUAGGAUUAGAACUAGAAGGAGUCAAUCUUCGAUUGGUUUCCGGAUCUGUCAAGAGGAUUCUUGGUAAUUCUCUAAUUGUUCUUCUAAUUGUUCAUCUUUGUUCUUCAAUAUUAUGAAUAUGACUUUGUUCUACAUCAAUAUAUUGCUUACGACUUUGCUCUACUUGUUUAUAUUCAAGAUUAUAUUGUUCUUAGUUUAUCAUAGUUAUGUACUUGGCUUAGUUAGAUUGGAUCUAUAUACAUGUUUAGGAUCGUAUAGCGUUUAUCCAUCGGAUCCAUGAGUAAAUGAUAGAUAUUGUGUAGGCGUGGUGCUUAUACCGUAUUUAUCUGCGAUUGUACCCCCAGAUCAUGGGGUAGUUCAUGAUAGUGACAGCUUCAUUGAUUCUUAUAUAGUCCCCCUCUCGUGUAUUGGGCUGGCAGAGCAACAUUAUUACAGGGGAGUGAUUACGAUGUUUCUCAUAUUCCUUGCUAAUAUCACUAUGCAUGGGCGUAGUCUUGUCUCGCAAUGAUUGCUAAGUAUGCUUGCACUAACUAUGAUAAUGUUAGACGGUAUAGUUAAGAAUAACUUAGAAAAUAUUCUUGUAGUUCGUUCUAAUUCCAUGCUAAUGACUUGCUAGAAUAUCUAAUUGAGGUGCUUAUCAUAUUUAUAUGUGGCUAAGUUAUGCUGAUCAGAUUAAUUAUCUUUGUCACCAUUCAUUACUUCAUAUAUCCUUUAUGUGACACUUAUCCCUGUAUGAAAGAGUUAGAUAAAUGUUCUCAAUUAUACAUGCAUUGAUAGAUACUCAAUCUCAUAUUCCAUUCUAUAAUCAACAUUGAUGGUUACUAAUCCCUUCCCAGUGGUAAAAAUAUAAAUAACGAUACCUAGAAUACUUCCCGGUUAAAAUGCUACAUCGGUAUUAAUCUAUGCGCUUGCAGAUCCCAUUCAUUAUUUAUUUAGACGAGCAAUUGCAUAUUUCAAUACCGCGUCUCUCAUGUCAUACUGGGGAUGACAACUUGGCUUAAGUGGUAUGAGAGAUAGGUUUGGCAUUUUUGGCACUGUUAUCAGAAUUAGAAACUGUUUACUUUUGGUAGUGAUGUUAAGAAUACCUAACAAUAUCCCAUGCAUAGGAAUCAUCAAGACCAUACAGAAGAUCAAGAACAUGGCUAGAGUGCAACUAAAACUUAUGUGCUAUUGCCAUUUAAUGGAUGGACAAGGCCUUAGAUAAGAUCAAUUCAAGAGAUGAUGCAAGGGAAUGUUUGGACAUAUAUGUCUAGUCACCCUUGGAAGUCGAAAAUGAUGGAGACUUCAAUGAGCAAGGAAGCUACUUCAUUAACACCCCAUGAGUUCCUUGCUCAUAUGAAAAAUCUCCUAAUUCACUUAGUCUCUCUACCUUUGCCCCACAUGAGGUCUUCAACCCCCUCAUGCUCUCUGUUCCUAACUGUUGACGGUCCUUAAGUAUCAAAUUUAAUUAUCAAAUAAAUAAAGAAAAGGAUCCAAAUGAAAUCAAGAUCUAGACUUAGGGUUUUAUCUGACAGAAUUCCACGAGUUUUGGUGUUUGUCUAUUUCUGCAGGGGGUUAUUAGGAAAUAUGGAAGAAAGGCCCACAUGUCAGGAUUACGUAAAGAUAUUAACGUGCUGUGCAAUUAUCUUACAUCUAGAAGACUCCAGAAGCCACGAGACCGAAGCGGAGGCGAAACAGGGCCAGAGGCAGGGCGCCCGCCCUGUCCUACUGGGCGCCCGCCCCCUGUCCAAGUCCAAUCAGGACUCUGCUUUGCGGGAAGUCUCCACCGACCUAAAGGAUGAAUCUAAACCAUACAAUCUAUGUCGGUUUGAUCCAAGGGCCCAUAUUCACUUGAAGGGACUAUAAAACCAGACCCCCUGGCCCCUGGAGGAGAGAGCCUCUCAACCCUAAUUCAUUGUUCCAUCAAGGGAGAAGAAGCCUCUGAUCGAGAUUAGAGCCACCACAUCAAUUAGAUAUCUAGAUUAGCAUAGCUACAUAGGAUUAGAACUAGAAGGAGUCAAUCUUCGAUUGGUUCCCGGAUCUGUCAAGAGGAUUCUUGGUAAUUCUCUAAUUGUGUUUCUAAUUACUUUCUAAUUAUCUUUGUUCUUCAAUAUUAUGAAUAUGACUUUGUUCUACUUCAAUAUAUUGCUUAUGACUUUGCUCUACUUGCUUAUAUUCAAGAUUAUAUUGUUCUUAGUUUAUCAUAGUUAUGUACUUAGCUUAGUUAGAUACAAUCUAUAUACAUGCUUAGGAUCGUAUAGCGUUUAUCCAUCGGAUCCAUGGGUAAAUGAUAGAUAUUGUGUAGGCGUGGUGCUUAUACCGUAUUUAUCUGCGAUUGUACCCAAUAUGCCAGAUCGUGGGGUAGUUCGUGAUAGUGACAGCUUCAUUGAUUCUUAUAUAGUCCCCCUCUCGUGUAUUGGGCUGGCAGAGCAACAUUAUUACAGGGGAGUGAUUGCUAUGUUUCUCAUAUUCCUUGCUAAUAUCACUAUGCAUGGGCGUAGUCUUGUCUCGCAAUGAUUGCUAAGUAUGCUUGCACUAAUUAUGAUAAUGCUAGACUAUAUAGUUGAGAAUAACUUAGGGAAUAUUCUUGUAGUUCGUUCUAAUACCAUGCUAAUGACUUUCUAGAGUAUCUAAUUGAGGUGCUUAUCAUAUUUAUUAUGUGGCUAGAUCAGAUUAGUUAUUCUUGUCACUAUUAUUAUUUCAUAUAUCUUUUAUGUGACACUUAUCCCUAUAUGAUGAGUUAGAUAUAAUGUUCUCAAUUAUACAUGCAAUGAUAGAUGCUCAAUCUCAUAUUCUAUUCUGUAAUCAUUAGUGAUGAUUUCUAAUCCCUUCCCAGUGGUGAAAAUAUAAAUAACGAUACCUGGAAUACUUCCCGGUUAAAAUUCUACAUCGGUAUUAAUCUGUGCGCUUGCAGAUCCCAUUCAUUAUUUAUUUAGAAGAGCAAUUGCAUAUUUCAAUACCGCGUCUCUUAUAUCAUGCUGGGGAUGACAACUUGGCUUAAGUGGUGUGAGGGAUAGGUUUGGCAUUUUUGGCACCGUUGCUAGAUUUAGAGAACUUAGUCUACUUUUAGUAAUGAUGUUAAGAAUACCCAACAAGCAUUUUUGGCGCCGUUGUCGGGGAAGGUUGAUUACUAAUCAGGAAUAGAAUAAAAGAUUUAGAGUAAUCAUUCGCAUCACUAAUAUGAUUGAGCUUAUCUAUUCUCUCAUACAGUUUUACCCCGAUAUUUUUCUAUUUUUAUCUUAUGCAGGGGAAUGUAUGAAUAGAAGACAUCUUCCAGGAAAUUUUGUUGACAAUCCCGAAGCAUUAUUCAAGAAGACGAGAGCCAAGCUAAAGAAAUCAUCAACACUUCACGAAGAAGCUUCAUCCAAUCAAGAAGAUCACCGGAACUUGUCUUCAGAGUUCGAAGCCAUGGCGAACAAAUCGAUCCGCGAGUUCUUAGCUCCCACUACGGACAACAUCCGCACUGGACCUGCUGCAGAGAUCGAUGGCAACUUUGAGCUCAAGCCUGGACUUAUCAACAAGGUGCAAUCCAACCAGUUCUGUGGGAAGGCACACGAAGAUGCUAGUGCUCAUUUACAACACUUUCUGGAGAUUUGCAACACAUUCACCAUAGCAGGAGUUUCCAAAGACGCUAUACUACUUCGCCUCUUCCCAUUCUCACUAUUAGGAAGAGCGAAGCAGUGGUUCUACGCUACAAAGGAGAAGAAUACUACGUGGGCACUCUGCUCAACAAACUUCCUGGCUAAGUUCUUUCCCAUGGGCAAAACCAAUGCUCUCCGUGGGAAGAUUACAAGUUUUCAGCAACAAAAUGAUGAAUCUGUUCCAGAAGCAUGGGAGCGCUUUCAAGACUACAUCCUAGAAUGUCCCCAUUAUGGAAUGGAGAGUUGGCUAUUGAUGCAGACGUUUUAUCAUGGGCUCGGCAACAGUGCCCGAGAGACUAUGGAUGCUGCAGCUGGAGGAGCAUUCUUAUCACUUACUAUACCACAAGCCGCAUCUCUUGUGGAGAAGAUGGCGUCCAACCAAAGCUGGAAUGAGGAGAGGACCCAGACACGCAAGAGAGGUGGAGGUAUACAUCAGCUGAAAGAGGUAGACAUGCUGUCUGCAAAGCUAGACCUGCUCAUGAAGAAGCUCGAUGAUAGAGCUGGAGACAAGAAAGAAGUUAUGCACAUCUACGACUCUCACAUGACUUGUGAGGAGUGUGGAGACACUGGACACUCAGGCAACCACUGCCCUGAGAUACUUGAGGAUGUGAACUACAUCAACAACAACAACAACAACUACUACAACCGUCCUCAACAAAAUCAAGGUUGGAAUCAACAGAGGCCUAACUACUCAGGUAAUUAUCAAGGUAACAAUUCUUACAACAAUAAUAAUAAUUUUCCACCUUUGAGAGAGUUAGUGUCUAAUCAAGGAAAGCUAAUGGAUAACCUAUCUAAGAAAUUGGCAUCUAAUGAUAAAAUGCUAGAAAAUAUAAAUAAUAGAAUGGAUAAUUUCUCUACUGCCAUCAAGAAUCAAAUUAGCUUUAAUAAAAUGAUUGAAUCUCAGUUAAAUCAAAUAGCUGCUGUUGUUCCUACUACUAACCCCGGUAUACCAUCACAACCGGAAGGAUUAGAAUCUGCAAAUCUUGUAGACAUGAUUGAUGCAGGUAAUUGGAGUAACCCCGUCACUGAAUUUUCUACUGACCAUCUGCCGGUCAAGAGAGGCGAUCCAGGACGCCCCGUCAUCCCGAUCUCCAUCGGCAUGGUGGACGUCCCAGAAGCACUCUGUGACUUUGGCUCUAGCGUCAACAUUAUACCCAGGGUACUCUAUAAAAAAUUCUUUACAUAUCCUUUAUUAGAGACAACCAUGUGUUUGCAGUUUGCAGAUCAGACGAUAACUUUUCCAAAAGGAAUCGUGAGGAACCUUUGUGUCCGAGUUGGUACCUUAUAUGCCCCAGCAGACUUCGUAGUGGUAGAGACCGGAAAUGAUGAGAGAGCACCUAUCAUCCUAGGGAGGCCAUUUCUGAACACCACGGGAGCUAUCAUCUACGCCAGUGCUGCCAAGAUCAGUUUCUACGUCAAAGGGAAGAAGGAGACAUUUUUCUUCAAGAACAAGACUACACAAAUUCCAGAUCAAUCCAGACGUGAAUCAAGGAAGAGGACCAACAGGAGAAACAGGAACAAGCAAGUGUGGACCGAGUCAGCUAAGAUGGUCACUAUAGUCCAUGGAGGCCAAGAUCACCAACUGAAGUCACCGUUUUUUGACCAAGAAGGACGACCCAGGAAUGCCAAGCAUUUACUGCUCCAUAAAUGGAUAUAACUUCUACAAGACGAUUUGCGACACCAGAUCAGGCGUCAACAUAAUGGCCGCAGUCACCUAUCGGCUCUUGUUCGGGACCAUGCCACUAAGACCAACAUACAUUCAGCUCCAGAUGGCAGAUCAAACAUUUCGAGAAGUUCAAGGAAUAGUAUCUGAUGUCCCAGUCAAAAUAGACAAUCACUUUGUCUACACAGACUUUCAAGUUGUUGACAUGGGAGAAGACGAGUAUGAUCCACCCAUCAUCCUUGGAAGGCCGUUCCUCAGCACCGUUAAAGCAAUUAUCUACAUUGGAACCGGAGAAGUCCAUAUGCACUUCCCCUCAGAGAAGGUACGCCGUUAUUUUACUGACCCUAACUAUAUCGUUGAAGAAUCUAAGCAGGUCAGAAAGAGACGCAACCGCAACCAGAGGAGGCAGAUCAUCAAGGACGGAUGGGCAGACUAUGAAGGAGAAGUUGUAAGGUCAGAAGACGUAGAGUUUAAACAGAAUUAUCUAGAGGAGAUUGAAGCACCGAGUCAGGUAUGGAAAAUGAAGAUAACUAUACAAGAAGAGGAGGCGCUGCCGGAAAUACCGACUAUGCCACCCAACGAACCUCAGGACGAUUAAGAAAUUGGAGAGUCCCGUUCGGAGGACUUAAAAACACCGAACGCCUUGCCAAGAGGUAAACUUGGUAGUUACCCUUUCCCUUUUAAUCAUUUCAAUUAUUUCAAAUAGUUUACUUAGUUAAUCAAGUUCAUGCUGUCUUAAAAAGAAAAUAAAAAUAUGAAAAACAGUAAGCCCCAUGUGAGUAUACGAGUGGCAUAAAACCCAUAAGUACUUUCACUGUGGUGGCAUAAAAAUAAAAUAAAUAUUUUUCUGCUUUAUAAAAUAAAAAUAUAAAAACAGGGAGUAAUAAUUAUUAAGGAGUCUCAAGAUGAUGAAGACUAUAUAUUUAUGCUAACACUUAAUUAGUUCCACAAGCUUUGUUGUCUAUUUAAGCUCCACAGAAUUCAAGAAGACUAGCAGAACGAGGACAUUCUAAUCGCUGUCAGAAUGCUGCUGACUUUCAAAUACACCUCUGCCGCCUGCUAGCUACAUCAAGAGAAAUUACGUCAAAAUUCAGCUUGGGGGAGAGCACCCCCAUUUAUUCCGAUAAGUAUUUUUAUCUAUCUUUAUACUUAUAUUAUUUUAGAAUAUUAAAAUACACAUAAACUAUGGAAAAACCAAAUAAAGAUUUUAUGCUUAUAUAUGUCUUUUGCUUAGUGUGUUUAAUAAAUAAAUAAAGUGGCUAUGCUAAUCUGUAUCUAAAUAAAACUUAAGCAUGGAUAUGAUGAAAAGUUGCUCUGCCUAAUUUGCAAAUUUUAAGUUCUCUCUCAAGUUUAGAUAUAACUGUUAUAAUUUAAAGCUUGCUCUAGAUCUAAACUUGUGGGAUAAAAACAUGAUCUGAAGUCUAAGUUGUUAACGGAUACGAUAUGGGAAGGCUGAGCUGCUGUUUAUCUGUUCCUAGAGAUGCUAGAAUUCUGGAGAAUUUUAUCUUUGAAAAUCUUUAAAAUGUUGCAUGAUGAGUUCCUGUAUGAUGAGAGCUUAAAAUUCCUACCACAGCCAUAUAUACAUGCUUGCUAGACUUUGAGCCACACAUUUAUUAUUUACUGCUUAUGAGCAUUGAGUGUGGUCAAGCUGUGUAGACCCUUAGGAGCUUGUCAUGUGGUUAAAUCAAGAUUUCACUUACACGUUCACUCAUAUAUGCUACUUCUACUCCGGAAGUACCAUCCACAUAUAUCCAUUCAUUUCCAUCUCCAGAACCACCUAAAAAUAUUCUACUCCUAAUUCGGGAGAGAAUAACCAAAAAUAUUUCUGUUUUUCCCCUUGUGAAAUAAAUGCUCAAGUUAUCUUGUUACUACCACUUGCUAUAUUAUCUCAUGAGAUGAAUGCUCAAUAUUAAAAAAAAAAUAAUACGAGGAAAUAAAAAGGAGCAAGUGCUCGGAACCUCGAAAGAAAAGAAAAAGUGAGACGAGAGGUAAAAAUGGACAAGUGUCCGACAGUAGAAUUAGGGGUGCAAGAUACCCACCUGAGAGAAAAGAAAAAAGAAGAGCAUCUCAUUCUCCUCAUAAAGUUUCAAAAGCAAGGAAGGUAUGUAUCCCCUCAAAAGAGCAAAGUAGAAUUAGACUUCCACCACCAUUGUUUUCACCAUUGUUAUCACCAUCAUCACCAUAUACCAUUCAUUCGCCACACAUGCACAUCUUGAUUUGGCUUAUUGACUUGUUACUUUGGAUCCAUGGUUUGACUAUGCAAUAAAUGUCUUGUAAGUAUGUAUAUUUUAUCUCCCACCUAUGAGCUCCAGAUAUUAAAGCCUUAUUAGAGUAGGGUGAGAGAGAAGGCAAUGUCACUAUGCUUUAUACCACAAAUACCACAUAUCUUGAGAGAAGGCAUAUACCAUCAAUGCCUUGGUAAGGAUCCAAAAAUACCACAAAAGAGAGACCUGAGAGAAUCAUACAAGGAAUCUCUGAGUUUUAUUUGAAAAUAUGCAAAAAUCCCAGAGCUAUAGCUGAUCAAGAAUAAGAGACAAGGCACUUGGCUAGACUGUUCUAUCUUUUAACCACUCAAGACAGAAGUGACAGUUACAAGUCCCAUG
RNAcentral lists this long non-coding RNA (31212 nucleotides) under Sorghum bicolor (sorghum). Its description in RNAcentral is "long non-coding RNA (SBIC_LNC003136)". The record is from RNAcentral. Lineage: Eukaryota; Viridiplantae; Streptophyta; Magnoliopsida; Poales; Poaceae.